CAACAACAACAACAACAACAACAACAAUGGCAACACUAUCCACAUCAUUAACAACAACGACUACCAUUAUUAUUAUUAUUAUGAUUACCAAAAUGAUGGUGCUAUUAGGAAUUCUAAACCUGGCCACAGCGCUGCCGGAUUUUACCCGAAUGGCAAUCGUGCAAAAUUGUCAGAAUCACACAUAUGGUCCCAACUGCCAAUUCAAAUGUGGUCACUGUUCACAAAACUUCACUUGCAAUGAACAGACAGGUGCUUGCAAUGGCGGAUGUCAAAUCGGUUGGUCAGGAAA
This is a long non-coding RNA of Octopus sinensis (East Asian common octopus), 289 nucleotides long. RefSeq lists it as uncharacterized. NCBI's taxonomy places the organism in Eukaryota, Metazoa, Mollusca, Cephalopoda, Octopoda, Octopodidae. The record is from RefSeq and is a predicted model, not a curated record. The transcript has 2 exons.